GAUGAACGCUGGCGGCGUGCCUAAUACAUGCAAGUCGAGCGAACGGACGAGAAGCUUGCUUCUCUGAUGUUAGCGGCGGACGGGUGAGUAACACGUGGAUAACCUACCUAUAAGACUGGGAUAACUUCGGGAAACCGGAGCUAAUACCGGAUAAUAUUUUGAACCGCAUGGUUCAAAAGUGAAAGACGGUCUUGCUGUCACUUAUAGAUGGAUCCGCGCUGCAUUAGCUAGUUGGUAAGGUAACGGCUUACCAAGGCAACGAUGCAUAGCCGACCUGAGAGGGUGAACGGCCACACUGGAACUGAGACACGGUCCAGACUCCUACGGGAGGCAGCAGUAGGGAAUCUUCCGCAAUGGGCGAAAGCCUGACGGAGCAACGCCGCGUGAGUGAUGAAGGUCUUCGGAUCGUAAAACUCUGUUAUUUGGGAAGAACAUAUGUGUAAGUAACUGUGCACAUCUUGACGGUACCUAAUCAGAAAGCCACGGCUAACUACGUG
Molecule: ribosomal RNA, 497 nt
Filed under: uncultured bacterium
Lineage: Bacteria
Description: partial 16S ribosomal RNA
Rfam family: Bacterial small subunit ribosomal RNA
Source: RNAcentral